UACGUAGGGGGCCAGCGUUGUUCGGAAUUACUGGGUGUAAAGGGUCAGUAGGCGGUGUGGCAAGUUGGGAGUGAAAUCUCUGGGCUCAACCCAUAGGCUGCUUCCAAAACUGCUGUGCUAGAGUGUGGGAGAGGCGCGUGGAAUUGCAGGUGUAGCGGUGAAAUGCGUAGAUAUCUGCAGGAACACCCGUGGCGAAAGCGGCGCGCUGGACCACAACUGACGCUGAAGGACGAAAGCGAGGGGAGCAAACAGG
RNAcentral lists this ribosomal RNA (253 nucleotides) under uncultured bacterium. RNAcentral describes it as "partial 16S ribosomal RNA". It matches the Rfam family "Bacterial small subunit ribosomal RNA", at positions 524 to 776 of the family's 1533-position model. The record is from RNAcentral.